GUCUUUACUUGGGUCUACAUCACAUGCAUAUUGAAAGUGUCUACAGCAACUCCUCCUACUCCAAUAAGUCCUGAACAGAAAGCUUGUUCUUUCUCUGCUAAUAAGUGGGUAUCCGCAGAUGGUUCUGACCAGGUGUGUGCCUGCUGUGACACCUUCUGUAGUACCAGAAAUGGUCGUGAUCCGAUGAUUAAAGAUCUGUGGUGGGAUAAAGCAUCUGUUGGACCCAUUAAUGUCAAGGAAUAUGGCCAUGGACAAAAAAUGACUGGAAAUGCCAUGUGAUGUUUAAAAAGUAAAAAAAUUUAGUCUUAA
This is a long non-coding RNA of Cyprinus carpio (common carp), 309 nucleotides long. RefSeq lists it as uncharacterized. The record is from RefSeq and is a predicted model, not a curated record. Lineage: Eukaryota; Metazoa; Chordata; Actinopteri; Cypriniformes; Cyprinidae. The transcript has 3 exons.